This is a non-coding RNA of Bos taurus (domestic cattle), 72 nucleotides long. The record is from Rfam. NCBI's taxonomy places the organism in Eukaryota, Metazoa, Chordata, Mammalia, Artiodactyla, Bovidae.
UCCCUUGUGGCUCAGCUGGUAAAGAAUCUGCCUGUAAUGCAGGAGACCUGGGUUCGAUCCCUGGGUUGGGAA